This 454-nucleotide ribosomal RNA is filed under the name uncultured bacterium. RNAcentral describes it as "partial 16S ribosomal RNA". It matches the Rfam family "Bacterial small subunit ribosomal RNA", at positions 61 to 507 of the family's 1533-position model. The record is from RNAcentral.
GGGGGGGGGGGGGGGGGGGGGGGGCGGGGGGGGGUCAGCUGGGACGGCGGUGUGGGUGGCGGGCGGGGGAGUAACGCGUAGAGAACUUGCCUCACAGUUAGGGACAACAUUUGGAAACGAAUGCUAAUACCUGAUAUUAUGAUUUUAGGGCAUCCUAGAAUUAUGAAAGCUAUAUGCGCUGUGAGAGAGCUUUGCGUCCCAUUAGCUAGUUGGAGAGGUAACGGCUCACCAAGGCGAUGAUGGGUAGCCGGCCUGAGAGGGUGAACGGCCACAAGGGGACUGAGACACGGCCCUUACUCCUACGGGAGGCAGCAGUGGGGAAUAUUGGACAAUGGACCAAGAGUCUGAUCCAGCAAUUCUGUGUGCACGAUGAAGUUUUUCGGAAUGUAAAGUGCUUUCAGUUGGGAAGAAAAAAAUGACGAGACCAACAGAAGGAGUGACGGCUAAAUACGUG